CCCUUAGAUGUUCUGGGCCGCACGCGCGCUACAAUGAUGAAUUCAACGAGUUUAUAACCUUGGUUGAAAAGCCUGGGUAAUCUUUUGAACUUUCGUCGUGAUGGGGCUAGACCCUUGCAAUUAUUGGUCUCCAACGAGGAAUUCCUAGUAAACGCAAGUCAUCAGCUUGCAUUGAUUACGUCCCUGCCCUUUGUACACACCGCCCGUCGCACCUACCGAUUGAAUGGUCCGGUGAAAUCUUCGGAUUGAGACUUUGUUUUCUUCACGGAAAACGCUGUUUUAAAAAGUUGAUUAAACCUUACCAUUUAGAGGAAGGUGAGGUCGUAACA
This 329-nucleotide ribosomal RNA is filed under the name uncultured eukaryote. RNAcentral describes it as "partial 18S ribosomal RNA". It matches the Rfam family "Eukaryotic small subunit ribosomal RNA", at positions 1470 to 1796 of the family's 1831-position model. The record is from RNAcentral.